Molecule: ribosomal RNA, 466 nt
Filed under: uncultured bacterium
Lineage: Bacteria
Description: partial 16S ribosomal RNA
Rfam family: Bacterial small subunit ribosomal RNA
Source: RNAcentral
GACGAACGCUGGCGGCGUGCUUAACACAUGCAAGUCGAACGGAAAGGCCUCUUUCGGGGGGUACUCGAGUGGCGAACGGGUGAGUAACACGUGAGUAACCUGCCCUUGACUUUGGGAUAACUUCAGGAAACUGGGGCUAAUACCGGAUAGGAGCUCCUGCUGCAUGGUGGGGGUGGAACGUUUCGGCGGUUGGGGAUGGACUCGCGGCUUAUCAGCUUGUUGGUGGGGUAGUGGCUUACCAAGGCUUUGACGGGUAGCCGGCCUGAGAGGGUGACCGGCCACAUUGGGACUGAGAUACGGCCCAGACUCCUACGGGAGGCAGCAGUGGGGAAUAUUGCACAAUGGGUGGAAGCCUGAUGUAGCAACGCCGUGUGCGGGAUGACGGCCUUCGGGUUGUAAACCGCUUUCGCUCAUGACGAAGCUUUGUGUGACGGUAGUGGGUAAAGAAGCACCGGCUAACUACGUG